RNAcentral lists this ribosomal RNA (110 nucleotides) under Bos taurus (domestic cattle). Lineage: Eukaryota; Metazoa; Chordata; Mammalia; Artiodactyla; Bovidae. The record is from RNAcentral.
GGCUCUGGCCAUAUCAGCCUGAAGGCGCCCGAUCUCAUCUGAUCUUGGAAGCUAAGCAGGGUUGGGCCUGCUUAGUAAAAAAAAAAAAAGUGAUGGUAGGGCUGCAUUCU